Molecule: transfer RNA, 30 nt
Filed under: Gyrodactylus pannonicus
Lineage: Eukaryota; Metazoa; Platyhelminthes; Monogenea; Gyrodactylidea; Gyrodactylidae
Description: partial tRNA-Trp
Source: RNAcentral
AAACAAAAAGUGCAUAACAUGCACUCCCUG